This 144-nucleotide small RNA is filed under the name human gut metagenome. RNAcentral's name for it is "M-box riboswitch (ykoK leader)". It matches the Rfam family "M-box riboswitch aptamer (ykoK leader)", at positions 11 to 156 of the family's 169-position model. From Rfam's summary of the family: M-box riboswitch, also know as ykoK leader is described as a metaloregulatory RNA that sense divalent metals and function as a genetic control element of genes related to divalent metal transport in bacteria. It was first reported upstream of the B.subtilis ykoK gene and genes with related functions in other bacteria. Phylogenetic analysis of the distribution of M-box RNAs across bacterial genomes revealed that M-box riboswitches are most often employed for the regulation of Mg2+ transporter genes The record is from RNAcentral.
CGUCCGGUAGGUAAGGCUACCACAGGGAUACGGGCUGCUGCCGCAAAAUGGUGGAGACACCACGCGAGGGCCAGCAGGCGAUGUCGAACCCAAGGCAUCGUUUAACGCAGCUUCACUGCCCUGUGAUGCUAAAGCUCGCAUGGU